CAGCAGCCACGGGAAAACGUAGGGGGCAAGCGUUGUCCGGAAUUACUGGGCGUAAAGCGUGCGUAGGCGGUUUGUUAAGUCUGCUGUGAAAUCCCCGGGCUCAACCUGGGAAUGGCAGUGGAUACUGGCAAGCUAGAGUGUGUCAGAGGAUGGUGGAAUUCCCGGUGUAGCGGUGAAAUGCGUAGAGAUCGGGAGGAACAUCAGUGGCGAAGGCGGCCAUCUGGGACAACACUGACGCUGAGGCACGAAAGCGUGGGGAGCAAACAGGAUUAGAUACCCCCGUAGUCCCUGUCUCUUAUAC
This 301-nucleotide ribosomal RNA is filed under the name uncultured bacterium. RNAcentral's name for it is "partial 16S ribosomal RNA". It matches the Rfam family "Bacterial small subunit ribosomal RNA", at positions 509 to 807 of the family's 1533-position model. The record is from RNAcentral.